CAGGAGCUUGGGGGAGUAUGUGCCCCUGGAAAGCACUAGAGCCAUGCCAGCGUUCAGUGAGCUCUGUGAGGUGACAGGAAGCUCCCGAGGCCAGGCCUAGGGCUUCUGGUGCGUGGGCAGGGGAGCGGAGACAGCUUCCUCUUUUGAAAGGUUGGCAGGAGCGAAGUGGAGGCUGACGGAUGUAGGAGAAGAUCUCAUACAGGCUGGGGGGCAAGUGUGGGUGCCCUGAGGUGCCCAGGGAGGGAAGCGUAAGGCAGGGCAGACCCGGGAGGGCCACGAGUGCCAGGCGAGGAGCAUGGUGGCUUCCGGCCUGAGGGUGAUACGGCCAUGAGGGGUUUAAUGGGUGGGGCAGGGUCAGCUCAGGGGGCCCAGAUAUGGGGGGAGCCCAGCCUGGGAGCAUCUGGGGACACUUUCUGGAAGACGUGAGUACUACAGCACUAAGAGUUUGCUAGAAGGGCAGGAAUGAAGGGCCCUCUCAGUACAAAGGUGUGAAGACGGUGGUGAACUGUGCGGGGAAGGUGUGAAGACGGUGGUGAACUGUGUGGGGAAGGUGUGAAGACGGUGGUGAGCUGUGCGGGGAAGGUGUGAAGACAGUGGUGAACUGUGUGGGGAAGGUGUGAAGACGGUGGUGAACUAUGUGGGGAAGGUGUGAAGACGGUGGUGAACUAUGUGGGGAAGGUGUGAAGACGGUGAACUGUGCGGGGAAGGUGUGAAGACAGUGAGCUGUGUGGGGAAGGUGUGAAGACGGUGGUGAACUGCGUGGGGAAGGUGUGAAGACGGUGGUGAACUGCGCGGGGAAGGGGUGAAGACGGUGGUGAGCUGCGUGGGGAAGGUGUGAAGACGGUGGUGAGCUGCGU
This 857-nucleotide long non-coding RNA is filed under the name Pan troglodytes (chimpanzee). Its description in RNAcentral is "long non-coding RNA NONPTRT008630". The record is from RNAcentral. Lineage: Eukaryota; Metazoa; Chordata; Mammalia; Primates; Hominidae.